UUCCGGUUGAUCCUGCCGGACCCGACUGCUAUUUGGGUGAGGAUAAGCCAUGCAAGUUGAAUGACCUCCCAUAGCAAACUGCUCAGUAACACAUGAUCAACUUACCCUAUAGAGAAAGAUAACCUCGGGAAACUGAGGAUAAUAUUUCAUAGUUGAAAAGGCUUGGAAAAGUUUUUCAAUAAAGGUUCUUUGCUAUAGGAUAGGAUCGUGGACGAUUAGGUUGUUGGUGAGGUAAUGGCUCACCAAGCCGAUAAUCGAUAGGGGCCGUGAGAGCGGGAGCCCCGAGAUGGGUACUGAGACAACGACCCAGGCCUUACGAGGCGCAGCAGGCGCGAAACCUCCGCAAUACACGAAAGUGUGACGGGGUUACCCAAAGUGUUCAAUUCUGAACUGUGGUAGGUGAGUAAUGUCCCCUACUAGAAAGGAGAGGGCAAGGCUGGUGCCAGCCGCCGCGGUAAAACCAGCUCUUCAAGUGGUCGGGAUAAUUAUUGGGCUUAAAGUGUCCGUAGCCGGUUUAGUAAGUUCCUGGUAAAAUCGGAUAGCUUAACUAUCCGUAUGCUAGGAAUACUGCUAUACUAGAGGACGGGAGAGGUCUGAGGUACUACAGGGGUAGGGGUGAAAUCUUAUAAUCCUUGUAGGACCACCAGUGGCGAAGGCGUCAGACUGGAACGUGCCUGACGGUGAGGGACGAAAGCCAGGGGAGCGAACCGGAUUAGAUACCCGGGUAGUCCUGGCCGUAAACGAUGCAUACUAGGUGAUGGUACGGCCAUGAGCCGUAUCAGUGCCGUAGGGAAACCGUUAAGUGUGCCGCCUGGGAAGUACGGUCGCAAGGCUAAAACUUAAAGGAAUUGGCGGGGGAGCACCACAAGGGGUGAAGCCUGCGGUUCAAUUGGAUUCAACGCCGGA
RNAcentral lists this ribosomal RNA (906 nucleotides) under uncultured archaeon. RNAcentral's name for it is "bacterial SSU rRNA". It matches the Rfam family "Archaeal small subunit ribosomal RNA", at positions 1 to 922 of the family's 1478-position model. The record is from RNAcentral.